Molecule: non-coding RNA, 288 nt
Organism: Pelobates cultripes (western spadefoot toad)
Lineage: Eukaryota; Metazoa; Chordata; Amphibia; Anura; Pelobatidae
Source: the annotation of a GenBank genome assembly
CUGGCAUACAUUUAGCCACCCUCCAGGUUCUUACCUUUUCCUUGAGGGUGGUUUCCCUGGUCCAGUGGCAGGCUGAGGCAGAUGGGAGUUCUCUUCUUGAACUCCCCUCCUCCCUGCCUUCCUCCUCCCGCGCGGCUAUCUCCGGUGGGAGGAAGUGACGUCACUCCUCCCAGCCGGCUGCAGAACCGGAAGAGGGGCCCGGUCGCGCUGUUUAAGUGCCACAGCGCCCGACCGGGCCCCUCCUGACACAUGCUCCCCGGGUGGCCCUUAGUGCAUGGGCCACCCGGG